This 422-nucleotide ribosomal RNA is filed under the name uncultured Blastomonas sp. RNAcentral describes it as "bacterial SSU rRNA". It matches the Rfam family "Bacterial small subunit ribosomal RNA", at positions 57 to 524 of the family's 1533-position model. Lineage: Bacteria; Pseudomonadati; Pseudomonadota; Alphaproteobacteria; Sphingomonadales; Blastomonadaceae. The record is from RNAcentral.
GCCAAGUCGAACGAAGGCUUUGGCCUUAGUGGCGCACGGGUGCGUAACGCGUGGGAACCUGCCCUUGGGUUCGGAAUAACAGUGAGAAAUUACUGCUAAUACCGGAUGAUGACUUCGGGCCAAGGAUUUAUCGCCCAAGGAUGGGCCCGCGUAAGAUUAGCUAGUUGGUGAGGUAAAGGCUCACCAAGGCGACGAUCUUUAGCUGGUCUGAGAGGAUGAUCAGCCACACUGGGACUGAGACACGGCCCAGACUCCUACGGGAGGCAGCAGUGGGGAAUUUUGGACAAUGGGCGAAAGCCUGAUCCAGCAAUGCCGCGUGAGUGAGGAAGGCCUUAGGGUUGUAAAGCUCUUUUACCAGGGAUGAUAAUGACAGUACCUGAAGAAUAAGCAUCGGCUAACUCUGUGCCAGCAGCCGCGGUAAU